GGGAAUGAGAAGACAGCUGUAAAUCAUGUCCGGCCUGCUGAUGACAUUCUCCUCUCUUAGCUAAAGGACUGAGGAUGGCUUUUCUGUGCCAGCCUGGGCCUGCUGAGCUGACCGUGUUUGAAGGGCCAGUCGUGGGCUAAGCUAGGCAAGCUGAGAUCAGUCCUGCAGGAACCUGAGGUCAUCACAGGAUGUGAAGACAGAGGUCAGGAGCCUGUGGGACCAGGAAUGAGCGAGGAGAUCGAAAUGACCUUGAUAGCUACAAGUGGAGAUGGAUCUUUGAGCUAUCAGAUGGAAGGCUGUCUCGCAGACCCAUGCUGGAUUUUACAUAAAUAAGAAAUGUAAGUGUAACUUUGUGGUGCUAAGUCACUGAGCUUUUUGGGUUUGUUUGUUAUU
This 393-nucleotide long non-coding RNA is filed under the name Cercocebus atys (sooty mangabey). RNAcentral describes it as "lncRNA (ENSCATG00000045508.1)". Lineage: Eukaryota; Metazoa; Chordata; Mammalia; Primates; Cercopithecidae. The record is from RNAcentral.